UUUUCAGAGUUUGAUCCUGGCUCAGGACAAACGCUAGCGGUGCGUCUAACGCAUGCAAGUCGAACGGGCGAAGGGGCUUCGGCCCCCUAGCUAGUGGCAGACGGCUGAGUAACACGUAAGCAACCUGCCCCGAAGAGGGGGAUAAUCCGGAGAAAUCCGGCCUAAUACCCCAUGUGCUCUCCUUUUAAUACAGGAAGAGGAAAGGCUUCGGCCACUUUGGGAGGGGCUUGCGUCCCAUCAGGUAGUUGGUAAGGUAAUGGCUUACCAAGCCUAAGACGGGUAACCGGUGUGAGAGCAUGAUCGGUCAGAGGGGGACUGAGACACGGCCCCCACUCCUACGGGAGGCAGCAGCGAGGAAUCUUGCGCAAUGGGCGAAAGCCUGACGCAGCGACACCGCGUGGAGGAAGAAGGCUUUAUUUGUUGUAAACUCCUUUUAUUGGGGAAGAAACUAGACGGUACCCAAUGAAUAAGGGUCGGCUAACUAGGUGCCAGCAGCCGCGGUAAUACCUAGGACCCGAGCGUUGUCCGGAUUUACUGGGCGUAAAGGGCGCGUAGGCGGUUCAUCAAGUCUUGUGUGAAAUCUCUUGGCUUAACUGAGAGGCGCCACGGGAAACUGAUGGACUUGAGGAUAGCAGAGGAAAGCGGAAUUCACGGAGUAGUGGUGAAAUGCGUAAAUACCGUGAGGAACACCAGUGGCGAAGGCGGCUUUCUGGGCUAUUCCUGACGCUAAGGCGCGAAAGCGUGGGUAGCGAACCGGAUUAGAUACCCGGGUAGUCCACGCCCUAAACGAUGGAUACUAAGUAUGGGGGGUAUAGACCCCCUCCGUACUGUAGUUAACGCGAUAAGUAUCCCGCCUGGGGAGUACGGCCGCAAGGCUAAAACUCAAAGGAAUUGACGGGGGCCCGCACAAGCAGCGGAGCGUGUUGUUUAAUUCGAUGAUAAGCGAAGAACCUUACCAGGACUUGACAUGUUUUUGACCGCCUGUGAAAGCAGGUUUUCUCUUCGGAGACAAUUACACAGAUAUUGCAUGGCUGUCGUCAGCUCGUGCCGUGAGGUGUUGGGUUAAGUCCCGCAACGAGCGCAACCCCUGUCGUUAGUUAUAAUUCUCUAGCGAGACAGCCCCCCAACGGGGGAGGAAGGUGGGGAUGAAGUCAAGUCUUCAUGAUUCUUACGUCCUGGGCUACAAACACGCUACAAUGGUUAGUACAAAGGGUUGCUAUUACGCGAGUAUGCGCUAAUCCCAUCAAAGCUAACCUCAGUUGGAAUUGCAGGCUGCAACUCGCCUGCAUGAACGUGGAGUUGCUAGUAACCGUAGGUCAGCACACUACGGUGAAUACGUUCCCGGGCCUUGUACACACCGCCCGUCAAGUCAUGGAAGUUGGCAACACUUGAAGUCGCCGAGCGAACCCUUAUGGGACGCAAGCGCCGAGGGUGGGGCUGAUGACUGGGACUAAGUCGUAACAAGGUAGCUGUACCGGAAGGUGCGGCUGGAUCACCUCCUUU
RNAcentral lists this ribosomal RNA (1503 nucleotides) under Dehalococcoidia bacterium. RNAcentral's name for it is "bacterial SSU rRNA". It matches the Rfam family "Bacterial small subunit ribosomal RNA". The record is from RNAcentral. Lineage: Bacteria; Bacillati; Chloroflexota; Dehalococcoidia.